CCUACGGGGUGCAGCAGUGGGGAAUAUUGGGCAAUGGGCGCAAGCCUGACCCAGCAACGCCGCGUGAAGGAAGAAGGCUUUCGGGUUGUAAACUUCUUUUCUGAGGGACGAAGAAAGUGACGGUACCUCAGGAAUAAGCCACGGCUAACUACGUGCCAGCAGCCGCGGUAAUACGUAGGUGGCAAGCGUUAUCCGGAUUUAUUGGGUGUAAAGGGCGUGUAGGCGGGAAAGCAAGUCAGAUGUGAAAACUCAGGGCUCAACCCUGAGCCUGCAUUUGAAACUGUUUUUCUUGAAUGCUGGAGAGGCAAUCGGAAUUCCGUGUGUAGCGGUGAAAUGCGUAGAUAUACGGAGGAACACCAGUGGCGAAGGCAGCUUGCUGCAGCGGAACUGACGCUGAUGCUCGAAAGCGCGGGUAUCGAACAGGAUUAGAUACCCUUGUAGUC
RNAcentral lists this ribosomal RNA (443 nucleotides) under uncultured bacterium. RNAcentral's name for it is "partial 16S ribosomal RNA". It matches the Rfam family "Bacterial small subunit ribosomal RNA", at positions 338 to 795 of the family's 1533-position model. The record is from RNAcentral.